CACCGCGGUUAUACGAGAGGCCCAAGUUGACAGUCACCGGCGUAAAGAGUGGUUAAAGAAUAAUUAAAACUAAAGCCGAACACCUUCAAGGCAGUUAUACGCACCCGAAGGCCAGAAGCCCAACUACGAAAGUGGCUUUAUUUCUCCUGAACCCACGAGAGCUAUGGUA
This 169-nucleotide ribosomal RNA is filed under the name Lepidotrigla sp. KAUM I 63057. Its description in RNAcentral is "partial 12S rRNA". Lineage: Eukaryota; Metazoa; Chordata; Actinopteri; Perciformes; Triglidae. The record is from RNAcentral.